ACUCCCUGGAGAGCCCCUCUCCCCUCUCAUCCACACUCAGACCAGAGGGCCCUCGGCCUGCCCCGCCCCCGCCAUGAGCCCCUGCCUCCUGGGCUGUGUGGUCUUCUGUCUCCUGCAGGCAGGGGCGGUCCACGCGGGUGUCACUCAGGACCCGAGAUUCCAGGUCGUGAGGACAGGACAGAGCACAACACUGAAAUGUACUCAAGAUCUGAACCAUGAUUAUAUGUGCUGGUACCGACAAGACCUGGGACAUGGGCUGAGGCUGAUCUAUUACUCAGCUGGUGCGCCCAGUAGCGAGCCGGGAGAUGUGUCCGAGGGUUACAGCGUCUCCAGAUCAAACAAGGAGAACUUCCCUCUGACGCUGAAGUCUGCCAUCCGCAACCAGACAUCUGUGUACUUCUGCGCCAGCAGUUAUUCCACAGCACUGCAUGGCCACCUCCUCUCUGUGCAAAAAGUAUUGGGUGCCCACGAUCAGGCUCCCAGCACCAGAAACCUUGGGCCUUUGGGGACCACGUGCCUGCAGUGUGACCCUGGGUGUGUGGACAACGCUGCCCCAGCCUCACUCCCAGGCCUCAGGGCCAUGUGUCCACCAUCGGUCUCUGUCUUUCCGCUGCAUCCUCACUGUGAACCAGGAAGAUGCUUCCCCAGCUCUGACUCCUAG
This is a non-coding RNA of Dama dama (fallow deer), 661 nucleotides long. Lineage: Eukaryota; Metazoa; Chordata; Mammalia; Artiodactyla; Cervidae. The record is from the annotation of a RefSeq genome assembly.